This is a long non-coding RNA of Podarcis muralis (Common wall lizard), 918 nucleotides long. RefSeq lists it as uncharacterized. NCBI's taxonomy places the organism in Eukaryota, Metazoa, Chordata, Lepidosauria, Squamata, Lacertidae. The record is from RefSeq and is a predicted model, not a curated record.
CUGUCAGCAGGAGAUUUGCAGGCCGCCCCGUGGGGAGGCUGAGAAGAGGUCUUGACUGGGAUCUCGGAGUCCCUCUGCAGAGAGAGGAGUGCUGAUGGCAGACGGACAUAAACCAGAGCGAGAUCUCAGCUAUUUUAAAUCCGGGGCUGGAGGGAAAUCCAGGCCAGGCCCAGGCAUGGGGCUUAAGCGCUGGCAGGUCUUCCUUCUGCGUUGGGACACAGUCGGUGCGUUACACCGAUGGGGGGGGGGAAGAAGGUGCGGAUUUGAGUCGCGACGCUCACUCCAGUGACCUAUGGCUCGGCCCAGCCUACCUCGCAGCUUUGUCACUGAGGACAGGGGGGGGGGCAUUCCACAGACAUCACCCCGAGAUCUGCAAAGGGCAAAGUGGGCUUAAAAUGUAACUAAGGUGACGUCUCCCCCCCCCCCCGAAGCUUUCAAAGAUCCAGAUGAUCUUUUCUCCACCAGAGCAGGGAGUUUCUGAAAUCCCAGGGCCUGAGUGCGCAAUUAAAAGCUGCAAGGUUUUUCGCAAAAGGCAAGGAAGAGGCAGGAUCGCAGCUCAAGGACUCACGCCAGCCAGUCAAAAAUCAAGAAAGGCAGGAGCAAAGAAAUACGCAGGAAGGAAUCUUGGCUUUGGCUAAACAGCCCCAGAGAGGAGCAAGUGAGCAACAGAGUCAGGGCAGAAGCGAAGAAAAUGUUCUGCAUGCUGCAUUAUGAUGGGAUGCCCUGCCGUCGGCUGUGGUCCCUGGCCUCCAGGAAAGAGCUGAGACACAUACAGGACUGUCGAGAAAAUAAGAAGAGGAGAGACGCCUCCGUGGCAACGAGGGGUGGGUGGAUCGGACAAUGUUGACUUAUUUAUAAGAAUACAGUGGUACCUCUGGAUGUAAACGGGAUCCGUUCCGGAGCCCCGUUCGCAUCCUG